RNAcentral lists this ribosomal RNA (484 nucleotides) under uncultured bacterium. RNAcentral's name for it is "partial 16S ribosomal RNA". It matches the Rfam family "Bacterial small subunit ribosomal RNA", at positions 29 to 507 of the family's 1533-position model. The record is from RNAcentral.
AGUGAACGCUGGCGGCAGGCCUAACACAUGCAAGUCGAGCGGCAGAAGGGAGCUUGCUCGCGGAUACAGCGGCGGACGGGCGAGUAAGGCCGAGAAACCUGCGAGGCAGCGGGUGAGAAGGUGCGGACGCGGGCGCUAAUACGGCAUACGCCCAGAGGGAGUAAGUGGGGGAGCUUGGGAUCUUACGCUCUCAGAUGAGUCUAGGUCGGAUUAGCUAGUUGGUGGGGUAAAGGCCUACCAAGGCGACGAUCCGUAACUGGUCUGAGAGGAUGAUCAGUCACACUGGAACUGAGACACGGUCCAGACUCCUACGGGAGGCAGCAGUGGGGAAUAUUGGACAAUGGGCGCAAGCCUGAUCCAGCCAUGCCGCGUGUGUGAAGAAGGUCUUCGGAUUGUAAAGCCCUUUUAGUUGGGAGGAAGGGCAGUAAGUUAAUACCUUGCUGUUUUGACGUUACCAACAGAAUAAGCACCGGCUAACUUCGUG